UUUCCGUAGGUGAACCUGCGGAAGGAUCAUUAUUGUAUUACCAAGGUCCGAAGGCUGUCUCUAAGCCGCCAGUACGUUCACUCCCGAGUGCCCCGCCACACCUCCAUCUCACCCCCAUGUGCACCACCGCGUGGGUCCAACUUUGGCAUGUUUGGAGGGGGGCUUACGUUUUCAGUAAAACUUUGUAUGCAGUGUAGAAUGUAUUUUUUGUUUUUGCGUUCACGCAAUCAAUACAACUUUUAACAACGGAUAUCUUUGCUCCCUCAUCUAAGAAGAACC
Molecule: unclassified non-coding RNA, 279 nt
Filed under: plant metagenome
Description: partial contains small subunit ribosomal RNA, internal transcribed spacer 1, and 5.8S ribosomal RNA
Source: RNAcentral